UUUUUAUUUUUGGUCGGUUUCUCUUUCAUCAGUGGGGAUGCAUACGCAGGUGGCAUUUACGCCUCUUUUAGAGGUCGUUUGAUUUAGCCUUACACUGUGACAAAGCUCUGGGUGUACUGCUGAGGGAACAGUUCCCCUGCUGUGCCAGCUGGCUGAUUAUCUGUGGUGAUCCUGCGUAUAAAGCAUUUUUAUAAGUUCACAGACCUCUCUGCUCAAAUGUCAGGUCAACACAGAGGCCCCCCUGACCGCCUCUAAAAUAGCAUCUGCCUCCUGUCUCUCUUCAUUCCUUUUCCCUACUAUAUUUAUCUUCAGAGCACUUGUCACCACUUGACACGUUAUAUAUUUAUUUGUUUACUAUCUGUCGCUCACCUUCAAAAUGUAGUCUUCAGGAGAAAAGGAACUUGUCCUUUUCUCUGCUUUGCUUGCUUGCCCUCCCUCCCUCUUUCUUUCUUUCUUUUCUUUUUUUUUUGUUUGAGACACAGUUUCACUCUUGUUACCCAGGCUGGAGUACAAUGGCAUGAUCUUGGCUCACUGCAAGCUCUGCUUCCUGGGUUCAAGCGAUUCUCCUGCCCCAGCCUCCUGAGUAGCUGGGAUUACAGGCACCCACCACCACACUUGGCUAAUUUUUGUACUUUUAGUAGAGACGAGGUUUCACCAUGUUGGCCAGGCUGGUCUCGAACUCCUGACCUCAGGUGAUCCUCCCACCUCGGCCUCCCAAAGUGCUGGGGUUACAGGCGUGAGCCACCGCGCCCGGCCUCUUGCUAUUAUUUCCGUUGCCUGAAAUGGUCUCUGACAUGUGGUGUUUAUAGAACAAAUGAACGAAAUGAGGGAGCGAAUGAAUAAAUUCUCCCACUGCUAAUGGAGGGAGGAAGGAGCAAUCUAUACUUGAAGAAGCAGAAGGAGCAGGAAGGACUCAGGGUAUGCCAAGAUCUCCAUUUGGGCCAAAGAGCAGAGUGAAACAAAGCCUGGGUCCCAUCUGCGAAGUCCCUGAUUUGGAGCGUUUCCUGGAGGUCCGAACCUUGAAUCCCGUGGACCACAAGCCAAAAGUCCAGUCCAGCCCGCUCAUUCUUUCUACUGAUGAAGAAACUGAAGGUCCUAAAACCAGGGAUUUGUGCAGCCUCCCACAUGUGAAAGAAGUGGUUUCAACAAGUACAUCCCAGCAGACUCUGACUCCAAAGCUGGGGUAAAGCUUUCUGGGUGACGACGUUUACAACAGAACUCGAUGCUUGUCAUCUCUUUGCACUUCUGCAAGUGAAAAUGAUGAAAAUAUUCUUUUUACUGGAAUCAACCCUCGGGUAGUCAGGUUAGCAGUUCCCAAAGGUCAUAUUUACAUUUUACCCGAGUCAGUUGUCUAAAGAGAAAGUGUCUUUCAUCCCUGCCUGUGGUGAGGCUUAAGUUUACAACAGGAGUGGGGGCAUGCAGUGGACACAACCGUGAUUACGAAAGGGUGGAGAACGCAGGGGACCAGCAACCCCAUCAUCACUCGGGCAGCCUCAUGGGACUUGAUGCUCGGAGAGGCAGUUGACAUGUAUUGCAGGCACAUGGCUGAGUUCCUUCAGGACAUGGACAGAGGAGGAGGCCUCGUGACACAGACUUGUCUAUAUCAUCGAUGUCACUUUCCAGAGAGUUUAAACACGGGCUCACCUGGGCUUUGGUGUAUUCUUGCCUGCAGCCAGGAUUGAGAACUCUUGCUUUGGGAGAUUUUCAUUGUCCUUUUAUGUACAUUACUAAAAAAGAGGAGAUGGAUUGCAGAUAAUUUAAGAUGCCUGACACCACUGCCCUACAUGCAUGCACAGGCAAGCCCACACAUGUUAAAGAGUGAAAGCCCAAACCCACGUUAGCAACAAAUCUUAACAAGACGGACUUGCCGAGUGGUUUGGAUGAAAUCACCACCUUCUUCUUGGUCUGAAUGUCUCGCUUAAGUAGCCUGACCUUCACUUGGAGAGUAACUGGCUACUUCUCAGUUCUUGCUGCAUUCUCUGGCUGGAAGCUGAAGAUCGUCAGUCACCAGCCACCAGCCCACCAGCCACUAGCCCACCAGCCCACUAACCCACCAGCCACCAGCCCACCAGCCACUGGCCCACCAGCCCACCAGCCAUCAGCCCACUAGCUCACUAGCCCCAGUAGCCCACCAGCCACCAGCCCACUAGCUCACCAGCCCCAGUAGCCCACCAGCCCACCAGCUCACCAGCCACCAGCCCACCAGCCACCAGCCCCACCAGCCACCAGCCCACCAGCCACCAGCCCCACCAGCCACCAGCCC
Long non-coding RNA from Macaca fascicularis (crab-eating macaque), 2263 nucleotides. NCBI's taxonomy places the organism in Eukaryota, Metazoa, Chordata, Mammalia, Primates, Cercopithecidae. The record is from Ensembl.